UACAGAGGUCUCAAGCGUUGUUCGGAUUCAUUGGGCGUAAAGGGUGCGUAGGCGGCGGGGUAAGUCGGGUGUGAAAUGUCAGAGCUCAACUCUGAAACUGCACUCGAUACUGCUCUGCUUGAGGACUGGAGAGGAGACUGGAAUUCACGGUGUAGCAGUGAAAUGCGUAGAUAUCGUGAGGAAGACCAGUGGCGAAGGCGGGUCUCUGGGCUGACACUGACGCUCAUGCACGAAAGCGUGGGGAGCAAACAGG
Molecule: ribosomal RNA, 253 nt
Filed under: uncultured bacterium
Lineage: Bacteria
Description: partial 16S ribosomal RNA
Rfam family: Bacterial small subunit ribosomal RNA
Source: RNAcentral